AGGGCUGUGGCUCAGUGGUAGAGCGCUUGCCUAGCAUGCGUGAGGCACUGGGUUCAAUCCCCCGCACCACAU
Molecule: transfer RNA, 72 nt
Filed under: Ictidomys tridecemlineatus (thirteen-lined ground squirrel)
Lineage: Eukaryota; Metazoa; Chordata; Mammalia; Rodentia; Sciuridae
Description: Spermophilus tridecemlineatus (thirteen-lined ground squirrel) tRNA
Rfam family: tRNA
About the family: Transfer RNA (tRNA) molecules are approximately 80 nucleotides in length. Their secondary structure includes four short double-helical elements and three loops (D, anti-codon, and T loops).
Source: Rfam by way of RNAcentral